RNAcentral lists this ribosomal RNA (832 nucleotides) under uncultured bacterium. RNAcentral describes it as "bacterial SSU rRNA". It matches the Rfam family "Bacterial small subunit ribosomal RNA", at positions 59 to 916 of the family's 1533-position model. The record is from RNAcentral.
CAGUCGAACGGGGGCUUCGGCCCCAGUGGCGAACGGUCGCGUAACACCUAAGCAACCUGCCCUGAAGUGGGGGACAACAUUCCGAAACGGGGUGCUAAUACCGCAUGUGGUCACGAGUCGGCAUCGACUUGUGUCUAAAGAUUUAUCGCUUCAGGAUGGGCUUGCGGCCUAUCAGGUAGUUGGUGGGGUAAUGGCCUACCAAGCCGACGACGGGUAGCUGGUCUGAGAGGACGAUCAGCCGGAUUGGGACUGAGAUACGGCCCAGACUCCUACGGGGGGCAGCAAUUAGGAAUCUUGCGCAAUGGGGGAAACCCUGACGCAGCGACGUCGCGUGAAGGAUGAAGGCCCUCGGGUCGUAAACUUCUUUUGAGUGGGAAGAAAUUUGACGGUACCACUCGAAUAAGCCCCGGCUAACUACGUGCCAGCAGCCGCGGUAAUACGUAGGGGGCGAGCGUUGUCCGAAGUUACUGGGCGUAAAGCGCGCGUAGGCGGUUAUUUAAGUCUGGGGUGAAAGGUUCAGCGCUCAACGUGAACAGUGCCUUGGAUACUGGAGAUUUGAGUUCUGGGAGGGGGAAGGGGAAUUCCUGGUGUAGCGGUGAAAUGCGUAGAUAUCAGGAGGAACACCGGUGGCGAAGGCGCCUUCCUGGCCUAAGACUGACGCUGAGGUGCGAAAGCGUGGGGAGCAAACGGGAUUAGAUACCCCGGUAGUCCACGCCGUAAACGAUGAGUGCUAGGUGUCGGGGGUAUCGACCCCCCCGGUGCCGUCGCUAACGCAUUAAGCACUCCGCCUGGGGAGUACGGCCGCAAGGUUGAAACUCAAAGGAAUUGACGG